RNAcentral lists this ribosomal RNA (492 nucleotides) under uncultured bacterium. RNAcentral's name for it is "partial 16S ribosomal RNA". It matches the Rfam family "Bacterial small subunit ribosomal RNA", at positions 29 to 507 of the family's 1533-position model. The record is from RNAcentral.
AUUGAACGCUGGCGGCAUGCUUUACACAUGCCAGUCGAACGGUAACAGGCCUUCGGGUGCUGACGAGUGGCGAACGGGUGAGUAAUGCAUCGGAACGUACCCAGAGGUGGGGGAUAACGCAGCGAAAGCUGUGCUAAUACCGCAUGUGAUCUGAGGAUGAAAGCGGGGGACCGAGCAGCAAUGUUUGGCCUCGCGCCUUUGGAGCGGCCGAUGUCGGAUUAGCUAGUUGGUGGGGUAAAGGCCUACCAAGGCGACGAUCCGUAGCUGGUCUGAGAGGACGACCAGCCACACUGGGACUGAGACACGGCCCAGACUCCUACGGGAGGCAGCAGUGGGGAAUUUUGGACAAUGGGCGCAAGCCUGGUCCAGCAAUGCCGCGUGCGGGAAGAAGGCCUUCGGGUUGUAAACCGCUUUUGGCAGGAACGAAACGGUGUCCGCUAAUACCGGGCGCUAAUGACGGUACCUGCAGAAUAAGCACCGGCUAACUACGUG